This 66-nucleotide transfer RNA is filed under the name Callimico goeldii (Goeldi's marmoset). RNAcentral describes it as "tRNA-Gly". Lineage: Eukaryota; Metazoa; Chordata; Mammalia; Primates; Cebidae. The record is from RNAcentral.
ACUCUCUUAGUAUAGACAGUACUAUUGACUUCCAAUCAGUAAGCCCCGACUACUAGGGAGAGAGUA